GCUGGCCGGCGUGCUUCAUACAUGCAAGUCGAACGAGAAGUCACCUUCGGGUGAUGGAAAGUGGCGACGGGUGAGUAAUGUGUAGAGAAUCUGCCCUUAAGAGUGGGACAACAGAGGGAAACUUCUGCUAAUACCGCAUAUGCGCGUACCUGAAAUGGUAUUCGUGAAAAACUCCGGUGCUUUAAGGAUGAGUCUGCAUCUGAUUAGCUAGCUGGGGGUGUAAUGGACCACCAAGGCGACGAUCAGUAGCUGGUUUGAGAGGGAUGAUCAGCCACAAUGGGACUGAGACACGGCCCAUACUCCUACGGGAGGCAGCAGUAGGGAAUUUUGCGCAAUGGGGGAAACCCUGAACCGCAGCAACGCCGCGUGAUUGAAUAAGCCCUUCGGGGUGUAAAGAUCUGUCAGUGGGGACGAAACUUGACGGUACCCACAGAGGAAGCAUCGGCUAACUCCGUGCCAGCCGCCGC
Molecule: ribosomal RNA, 467 nt
Filed under: uncultured bacterium
Lineage: Bacteria
Description: bacterial SSU rRNA
Rfam family: Bacterial small subunit ribosomal RNA
Source: RNAcentral